CCUACGGGAUGCAGCAGUGAGGAAUAUUGGUCAAUGGCCGGAAGGCUGAACCAGCCAAGCCGCGUGAGGGAAGACGGCCCUACGGAUUGUAAACCUCUUUUGUCAGGGGACAAAAAGAGUCACGUGUGACUCAUUGAGAGUACCCGAAGAAAAAGCAUCGGCUAACUCCGUGCCAGCAGCCGCGGUAAUACGGAGGAUGCGAGCGUUAUCCGGAUUUAUUGGGUUUAAAGGGUGCGCAGGCGGAGGGGCAAGUCAGCGGUAAAAUUGCGGGGCUCAACCCCGUACUGCCGUUGAAACUGCAUGCCUUGAGUGCGCGAGAGGUAUGCGGAAUGCGUGGUGUAGCGGUGAAAUGCAUAGAUAUCACGCAGAACUCCGAUUGCGAAGGCAGCAUACCGGCGCGCAACUGACGCUCAUGCACGAAAGCGUGGGUAUCGAACAGGAUUAGAUACCCGUGUAGUC
This 459-nucleotide ribosomal RNA is filed under the name uncultured bacterium. Its description in RNAcentral is "partial 16S ribosomal RNA". It matches the Rfam family "Bacterial small subunit ribosomal RNA", at positions 338 to 795 of the family's 1533-position model. The record is from RNAcentral.